GAUGAACGCUAGCGAUAGGCUUAACACAUGCAAGUCGAGGGGCAGCAUGGUCUUAGCUUGCUAAGACUGAUGGCGACCGGCGCACGGGUGCGUAACGCGUAUGCAACUUGCCUCACAGAGGGGGAUAACCCGUCGAAAGACGGACUAAUACCGCGUACACUCUAUUUUGGGCAUCCAAGGUAGAGGAAAUGAAAUUCGCUGUGAGAUAGGCAUGCGUCCCAUUAGCUAGUUGGUGAGGUAACGGCUCACCAAGGCGACGAUGGGUAGGGGAACUGAGAGGUUGAACCCCCACACUGGUACUGAGACACGGACCAGACUCCUACGGGAGGCAGCAGUGAGGAAUAUUGGUCAAUGGGCGAGGGCCUGAACCAGCCAAGUCGCGUGAAGGAGGACUGUCUUAUGGAUUGUAAACUUCUUUUGUAGGGGAAUAAAGAGGGGCACGUGUGCCCCAGUGAAUGUACCCUACGAAUAAGCAUCGGCUAACUCCGUG
Molecule: ribosomal RNA, 490 nt
Filed under: uncultured bacterium
Lineage: Bacteria
Description: partial 16S ribosomal RNA
Rfam family: Bacterial small subunit ribosomal RNA
Source: RNAcentral